GGGGGAAGGAUCCUGUGUGUGUCUCUCUCCCUCUCAGAACAAAAUGCCGACCGGAAGUGCAGCUGCAGGAAUGACUCCCUCCACCGGCGCCAAACACCAACAGCCUCCCCCUUCCCUCUGCUGCUGCUGCCUCCUUCUCGUUCACUCAGCCAGCCAGCCCUGUUUCCGCCACCGCCACUGCGUUCCUCCCCUCCCUGCAACACACAGCAGCUGGAGCUUCUCCGUCUGCCUCGUCUCGCCUCUCGGCUGCCACAGCUGAUGUCCCUCUCCGUCUCUAUCUCUCCUUUUCUCCACCCUUCCUCUGCCUCCGAGUUUCUCUUUCUUUUCCCUUUAUCAUCUAGAUGAAUCCGACUGGAGUUUGCACUUAGGCCUGCGCUAAGCAGAAGGGAACCUGCGAUCUGUGAAGAGGGCACCAUUUGAAAGAAGAUUUUCUUUUAAUGUUGAUGAGAAGGAAGACUUUAAAUGACUGCAAAAUCCUUCCUCGCAUGAGAUACUUGAAAAGGUGCAUUAAAAUGAAUCCCAAAAGAAGGCAAUCUUCCCGUCCCGAAUGACUUAGCAGACCUUGGAAACUUGCUGGAUCUUAUUUUAUUGUUGUUCUUGUCCGUGUGUGUUAAGAUGCUGUUGUAGCCGGAUUUGAAACAUCAGAUGCUGAGAAUGUUGCUGUGUAUGGAUGAGGAUGGUAACCGAAUAAUUGAUUUUUAAAAUCAGCCUUCUUGAGCAAGUGCAGAGGAGGGGAGAGACUGCUGUUGAAGUGAAGGCUCCUUGGCUGGAAAUUGAAAUGUUUGUUGCCAGAUUUUCCUAGAAAAGACUUUACUAGGCUAAUUAUGUGUUGUGAAGGAAUCUUUGGCGAAGGCAACAGCCCUAGUCAGAAGGCUUUUCUGUUCGGGCAUUGUGUGUGAUCAUACCAUAGGAUAGUACGAAGUGUGUGUCGUUCAUUUAUGCUGGGUUAACCGCCUCCUUUUUGCUCACUAUUGAGAUUCCGAUCCUGCAGUCCUUAUUCAGACAAGACUCCAGCUGAUGUCAAUAGGUGUCUUGUUUGAGUAAGGAUUGCAGGAUUGGACCAUACAAUUGGACAGUAAGUACCUGUAAAUGUCGUGGAAUGCAUCCAUUCGGCUAUGGAUAGAGGUAGUUUACACAUGGGAGAAAUGCCUUCCAGAUCAUGACAUUGCUCUUGCAUGCAAUGCAACUGGAUCCUCUCUGACCUCUAUGUGAUGAUUGCUUGAAUAAUACCAGGUAUGUCUCCACCACCGUUUCAAAAACGUGGCUGUCCCUCUCAAAUUGAAAACAAGUUCAUAGUGUCAGAGUGGAAUAUAAUGUUUUUAAAAACUACAUAUUUUUGGGUGAAGGCAGUAGGAGGGAUAUCUUACUUUAGUGCUGUAUUGAUGAUACUAAUUUCAUAUGGAUAAACGUGUAUAAGUUUAAAGGACAGACAACUUAAACCCCACUUUUGUCUGAAAUUUGUUAUCUACACUUGUUCCACAUAACCAUUUAGGCCCUGAUCCUGCAAAUGCUUAUGCAUCACGUAAUUAGGGUGACCAGAUGUCCCGAUUUUAUAGGGACAGCCCCGAUAUUUGGAGCUUUUUCUUAUAUAGUCACCUAUUACCCCCACUUGGGAAAACUCAUUUUAUUACAUUAGAUCUGCAUCAGAAAAGUAAUUAAAGGAUUGGAAGCAACGGUUGUUUUGGAUACUAUUGUUAUAACAUGAUAGAUUCAGAAUUACUGUAAAAUUAAGCUCAAGUAAAAACUAAAUAUAUUUUACUUAUCUAGAAGCAAUUGGAUAUAAAGGUUAUUACAGUAAAAAAAGUAAGGUCUUGAUCCUGCAAUCAGAUCCAUACAAGUAGAUCUCUGUAGUCCAUUGUCUUUAUUGGACUCCAUGUUCAACUAUAAGUAUCGGGUCAUAUAUGUCUACAGAACAAUUUAUUAUACAUAGAUUCAUCAUGUUAUAUGAUUGAUGUCCAGGAGGAAGAAAGAUUAUGGUGUCAUGAAAGUUAUAAAAACAAAAUGUUACAACAAAAGUGAAUUGCAGGUGAUAAGUCUGCAAAAGUUUUACGCCUCAUCCUGCUUCCUUUGAAGUCAGUGGAAGGCGGUUAAGUCUACAUCUUUUCCUCUAAAUGACAAAUGUGUGGCUAUUAUCACUGUAAAUCUAAGAUCAUCAUCACUCUAAAUGGGCACACUUCUUUAAUUUUCUGAUUACCUGUUAGAAUGAAUAAAAUAACUAUGCACUGUAAUUUUUCCAUUUGUUUUUACAGGAUCUGGUGUAACAAUAUCCAUUCAAGUUUUCCCUCAUUUUAAGUUCUGUAUGGUGUACUCUAGUAAUGGAUAGAGCACUGGAGUGGGACUCAGGAGACCUGGAUUCUAUUCCUGGCUCUACCACUGGCCUGUUGGGUGACCUUGGUUAUAUUACAGUAAUGCUUAGGAGCCCUAACCAGGAUUGCAUCCAUUCUGUUAGCCAGUGUACAAACAUAAGAAGACACAGUCCCUGGCCUGAGGAGACUCCAAACCACUGCAGCCAGACUGACCCAUCUGUUCCUUGGAGCUUGUCUAUAAAAAGGGGAGAGAGACGUCCCUUAGAAUUUUAC
This is a long non-coding RNA of Trachemys scripta elegans, 2579 nucleotides long. RefSeq lists it as uncharacterized. The transcript has 3 exons. Lineage: Eukaryota; Metazoa; Chordata; Testudines; Emydidae. The record is from RefSeq and is a predicted model, not a curated record.